CCCUUUGGGGUGUGACUGCGUACCUUUUGUAUAAUGGGUCAGCGACUUAUAUUCUGUAGCAAGGUUAACCGAAUAGGGGAGCCGGAGGGAAACCGAGUCUUAACCGGGCGUUAAGUUGCAGGGUAUAGACCCGAAACCCGGUGAUCUAGCCAUGGGCAGGUUGAAGGUUGGGUAACACUAACUGGAGGACCGAACCGACUAAUGUUGAAAAAUUAGCGGAUGACCUGUGGCUGGGGGUGAAAGGCCAAUCAAACCGGGAGAUAGCUGGUUCUCCCCGAAAGCUAUUUAGGUAGCGCCUCGUGAAUUCAUCUCCGGGGGUAGAGCACUGUUUCGGCUAGGGGGCCAUCCCGGCUUACCAACCCGAUGCAAACUGCGAAUACCGGAGAAUGUUAUCACGGGAGACACACGGCGGGUGCUAACGUCCGUCGUGAAGAGGGAAACAACCCAGACCGCCAGCUAAGGUCCCAAAGUCAUGGUUAAGUGGGAAACGAUGUGGGAAGGCCCAGACAGCCAGGAUGUUGGCUUAGAAGCAGCCAUCAUUUAAAGAAAGCGUAAUAGCUCACUGGUCGAGUCGGCCUGCGCGGAAGAUGUAACGGGGCUAAACCAUGCACCGAAGCUGCGGCAGCGACGCUGAUGCGUUGUUGGGUAGGGGAGCGUUCUGUAAGCCUGUGAAGGUGGCCUGUGAGGGUUGCUGGAGGUAUCAGAAGUGCGAAUGCUGACAUAAGUAACGAUAAAGCGGGUGAAAAGCCCGCUCGCCGGAAGACCAAGGGUUCCUGUCCAACGUUAAUCGGGGCAGGGUGAGUCGACCCCUAAGGCGAGGCCGAAAGGCGUAGUCGAUGGGAAACGGGUUAAUAUUCCCGUACUUGGUGUUACUGCGAAGGGGGGACGGAGAAGGCUAUGUUGGCCGGGCGACGGUUGUCCCGGUUUAAGCGUGUAGGUGUGUGUUCCAGGUAAAUCCGGUUCACUUUAACACUGAGGCGUGAUGACGAGGCACUACGGUGCUGAAGCAACAAAUGCCCUGCUUCCAGGAAAAGCCUCUAAGCAUCAGGUAACAUCAAAUCGUACCCCAAACCGACACAGGUGGUCAGGUAGAGAAUACCAAGGCGCUUGAGAGAACUCGGGUGAAGGAACUAGGCAAAAUGGUGCCGUAACU
This 1153-nucleotide ribosomal RNA is filed under the name Salmonella enterica. Its description in RNAcentral is "partial 23S ribosomal RNA". It matches the Rfam family "Bacterial large subunit ribosomal RNA", at positions 582 to 1735 of the family's 2925-position model. The record is from RNAcentral. RNAcentral also lists the same sequence under 1 other name. Lineage: Bacteria; Pseudomonadati; Pseudomonadota; Gammaproteobacteria; Enterobacterales; Enterobacteriaceae.